UACGGAGGGAGCUAGCGUUGUUCGGAAUUACUGGGCGUAAAGCGUACGUAGGCGGUUAUUCAAGUCAGAGGUGAAAGCCCGGGGCUCAACCCCGGAACGGCCUUUGAAACUAGAUAACUAGAAUCUUGGAGAGGUUAGUGGAAUUCCGAGUGUAGAGGUGAAAUUCGUAGAUAUUCGGAAGAACACCAGUGGCGAAGGCGACUAACUGGACAAGCAUUGACGCUGAGGUACGAAGGCCAGGGGAGCAAACGGG
RNAcentral lists this ribosomal RNA (253 nucleotides) under uncultured bacterium. Its description in RNAcentral is "partial 16S ribosomal RNA". It matches the Rfam family "Bacterial small subunit ribosomal RNA", at positions 524 to 776 of the family's 1533-position model. The record is from RNAcentral.